RNAcentral lists this ribosomal RNA (93 nucleotides) under Bacillus sp. F2-DU-BAN. Its description in RNAcentral is "partial 16S ribosomal RNA". It matches the Rfam family "Bacterial small subunit ribosomal RNA", at positions 1444 to 1533 of the family's 1533-position model. Lineage: Bacteria; Bacillati; Bacillota; Bacilli; Caryophanales; Bacillaceae. The record is from RNAcentral.
AGGAGCCAGCCGCCGAAGGUGGGACAGAUGAUUGGGGUGAAGUCGUAACAAGGUAGCCGUAUCGGAAGGUGCGGCUGGAUCACCUCCUUUCUA